GACGAACGCUGGCGGCGUGCUUAAUACAUGCAAGUCGAACGGAAAGGCCCUGCUUGCAGGGUACUCGAGUGGCGAACGGGUGAGUAACACGUGGGUGAUUUGCCCUGCUCUUCGGGUUAAGCCUGUGAAACUGGGUCUAAUUACGGCCAGGUGCUAUUUUUAGCGUGAUGGUUGGAAAGUUUUGUCGGUUUUUGAUGAGACUGCGGCCUAGCUGCUUGGUGGGGGGGUAAUGGGCUAACAUGGCGGCGUCGGGUAGCGGGCCGGCGGGGGUGGACGGCGACAUUGGGACUGAGGGGCGGCCGAGGCACCGACGGGUGGCAGCAGGGGGGAAGAUUGCACAAUGGACGCAAGCCUGAUGCAGCGACGCCGCGGGGGGGAUGACGGCCUUAGGGUUGAAAACUCUUUGCGCUAGGGACUAAGCUUUUUGUGACGGUACCUAGAUAAGAAGCACCGGCUAACUACGUG
This 465-nucleotide ribosomal RNA is filed under the name uncultured bacterium. RNAcentral describes it as "partial 16S ribosomal RNA". It matches the Rfam family "Bacterial small subunit ribosomal RNA", at positions 28 to 507 of the family's 1533-position model. The record is from RNAcentral.